Long non-coding RNA from Coccinella septempunctata (seven-spotted ladybird), 1990 nucleotides. RefSeq lists it as uncharacterized. The transcript has 2 exons. The record is from RefSeq and is a predicted model, not a curated record. Lineage: Eukaryota; Metazoa; Arthropoda; Insecta; Coleoptera; Coccinellidae.
AUAAUUGAGGGGUUCAGAGCUGAAGUCAGAGGAACCAAGUCCAUUCAGCCUAGUUUUGAGUUGAAUUACUUAGAAGUUGUUUAUCACCAAUUAAUUAAAAAGUGACUUCUUCAGAUAUAUGGAGGGUCUCUACCCUCCAUAUUCAGAUAUUAAAAGAUUAGAAUGUAAGCAUAUGUUUACAUAAGAAUAAUAAUGAAUAAAGAAGUCACUUUCGAAUUAAUUGGUGAUAAACAACUUCUAAGCCAUUCAUGUCAAAACUAGGCUGAAUGGACUUGGUUCACUUCAGCUCUGAUUCCCCCAAUUAUAUAGAUUGUCAUCUUAGAUUGCACCAUCAAUAAAAUCAGUUGCAAAAACAUUAGUUUGGUAGAGUCACAACUAACAUACACCCAUACAUGGCAUUCUCGAUUGCGGCCUGCGGGACAACCGAGUCAUGUGAAAAGAUUGAAAAUUGAUCAAAAAAUAAUUCUGGAACUAAUGUUACAGUACAAUUACCUACUGAGCUGUCCUGCAAGGAAGCACACCUAUUUGAUUUUAGAGGCUUGUACUUCUCUAGAGUGGUAAAGUUUUAUUUUAAAGAUAAAUCUUACUUGGAACGAGAGAUGUUAUCCCACUAUGUAGUAGCAAACAAGAGCUCCUGAAACUACAAAAUUAAAAAGGAAGCCUGCUAAAACGACUGGCGCCUUAGAUAUUUUGCAUUGUUGAGGCCUAGAUUCAUCAAUAGAUGAACAUACGGUUUUGGGAGCACAUUCUCUUAGAAUCUUAGAUGAUUCUUAACUGAUUUCUUAUUUGGCGAUGGCGCCCAUGUGGUGAAUGAUUAUUUUUCAAAUUAAUCUCCACCAGAUAUACAUUAAUUUAGUGAGGUAGCAACGUAACUUGCCUCCAUCCUAUUUUUUCUUUAUAUGUUUAAAAUUACUUCUUAUCCCAUAGAUAGUGUUGAGCUUACACUCAUCUAUAGCUUUGUUCGUAGAGUGGUUUGCAACGGUUGUGAACUGUACAGAGCAAGCGCAAUUCCAUUUUAGGGUAGCGAAAAUCCAUUUGCGCUUACUCUGUACAGUUCACAACUGUUGUGAACCACUCUACGAACAAGCCUUAUAUUUUGUGUUUGUUUUGUUUUUUCAUACUGUACUGAGUAGGUACUGCUCCAAAAAAAAAAAAAAAUACUGAUUAUUGAUUAUACUUGCAUACCAUUCUCGCCAUCCCUAGCAGUACCGCUUUCUGCAUGAGCCUAUAGAUAUUUGUACUUUGAGAUCGCUGUAUUUUGAACUUUUCAUUGUAGUAUUGUGGCUAUCUAGUAGAUUUUUAUUAUCUGGAAUCGUUGCACCGAUGAGUAGUGCUCUGUUCUCAUCCUCAUUCAGGCCAAAUUUGUGUUAUUUUCCAGUCUAUGUACAUGAGAACCAUGCGAUCCCAUUAGAGCUUGUGAUGAUCAUUCCACUACUGGAUGGUAAUUUUAAGAUUUUUUGACCUUAGAAGUCGAUGUUUUAUUGCCAUUUUUUUGGUGUAAAAUAAAGAAUUUCUUCUUAAUCUAGGACUAAGUGAUGUAAAGCUGUUGAUUUCUUGAUUAGGCUUUGUAAAACUGUGCACUAAACUUCUGUUUCUUUUCACUAGUUAUAUAAGGUUUCUUCACUUACAACUAAUCAUAGUUUCUCCGAAAUCCGUGACUCAAAAUUAAGGAUUACAAGCAGUUUUUUAGAAGUUUUUCGUAGUAAAGACCCAGCUCUCUAUAUCAGUUAGGUGAUGGCUUCGGGUGAGAAGCCCCAUCUAGGGGGAUGCAUUAUUUAUCUCCAAGGACUUCUCCUUCUAGAGAUGAUAACCAAUUAAAUUAAGUAUUUUGAUGAAGUGUUAUGUAGUACGUUCAAGGCAUAUGAAUUCAUUUCAAUUCUCACAGAGAGCACAUGUUCACCACACGUUCACAGAGGAACAUGUGCUAUAAAAUAAAAUAUGUAAAUAAUCAAUACUUUAAUGAAUAAACCUUAACAAUAAUAGGUACAUA